GCCCGUGUAGCCUAAUGGAUAAGGCGUUGCCCUCCUAAGGCAAAGAUUGCGAGUUCGAGUCUCGUCUCGGGUG
This is a non-coding RNA of Polychytrium aggregatum, 73 nucleotides long. Lineage: Eukaryota; Fungi; Chytridiomycota; Chytridiomycetes; Polychytriales. The record is from the annotation of a RefSeq genome assembly.